Molecule: long non-coding RNA, 298 nt
Filed under: Gossypium raimondii (Peruvian cotton)
Lineage: Eukaryota; Viridiplantae; Streptophyta; Magnoliopsida; Malvales; Malvaceae
Description: long non-coding RNA (GRAI_LNC007437)
Source: RNAcentral
GAGUUCGAAUCCUUGCACAUGCGAGGGAAAUUUUCUUUUGUUCUUGUGUCGUGAAGGAGUUUGAAAUAUGGUAAAAUACUAAGUGUUUGAGAUGUGUGGGAGGUUGUGGGUAGUUUGGGGUGUUUGGAUUGAGUAGGGAGUCAUGUGGAUAGAUUUGAGGAGUAAAAAUAAGAGAAAUUAAGUGAUUAUGAUAGGAUUAGAUUCUUUUUUUUGAAAUUCAGUUUUUCUUUCCCCAGUUUUACUGAAGUCGAAUUUCUUUAUUCAUUCUCUCCUGCCGAAAGUUUCCUUUAGUUUUUCC